GGAAUGAACUCGAAAACGGUCUCGAAAACCGUUGAGCCUUCACGGGUUCCCAGGGUUCGAAUCCCUGUCUCUCCGCCA
This 78-nucleotide transfer RNA is filed under the name Leisingera methylohalidivorans DSM 14336. Its description in RNAcentral is "tRNA-Und (NNN) (tRNA-Und-NNN-1-1)". Lineage: Bacteria; Pseudomonadati; Pseudomonadota; Alphaproteobacteria; Rhodobacterales; Roseobacteraceae. The record is from RNAcentral.